Molecule: long non-coding RNA, 1154 nt
Filed under: Chrysolophus pictus (golden pheasant)
Lineage: Eukaryota; Metazoa; Chordata; Aves; Galliformes; Phasianidae
Description: lncRNA (ENSCPIG00010008512.1)
Source: RNAcentral
GGGCAGGCUCUCCCCUGGUGUUCCCAGCAGUGCCUGCAGAAUGAAAGAAUGGCAGAGCUGCUUCUCUUUUCCUUGAGCACCUUCGCCAUCCAAGUAAUUUAAAACAUAGAAAAUUCCAGUGAUGCUCUUUUAGAUUCUAAGUGGAUGUCGUAAAAGUCUCUUUAGAUCACUUUUUUGCUGCUUUCUCUCAAGCAAAGCGUGUGUGCUGCUGUCAUGCUUCCCUUAGGACAGCUUCUCUGUGAAACCACGUGGAUGCUUUCAGGAUCUCUGUGCAUCACAUCCAAGCAGCUCGAAAAGGAUGCACAGCAUUUCAGCAACAGAGAAAACAAUCUCCAGAAUAAAGGACCAGAACCUAGCUCUCAGGUAGCUGAAUUCCUGAAUAGUCUGCAGUCAUCAGAUAUUUGAACACAGACUUGGUCAUCAGCCAGAUAAAAAUCAAGCCUGAGCACCCCAAACUCAAUGAGAACAUGAGUUUUCUCUCUUGUAAAUGUUGGAGUACAGACUCCAGUUAUCAGAUUGCUGUUGUUCUCCUGGUAGAUGCUUUGGGUGAGUCAGAGGAUUCGAAAGGACUCGGAGUGUAAUGACUGUGAGUGAAGAGGAAUUGCCCCUACUCUUGCAGGGCUACCCCAGCCACGAGCACUGUGCCUGAGCUCACAUAACUUACCUGUCAUCAGGACUCAUUAACUCCAGCUUGGCACUGCCCUAAAUGAUGGCACGAACAUUUUGGUUGGCUUAGAGAGCAGGCAGAAUGUGCUCACAUCUGUCUGCAAUAUGCCACGUGGGCAGAUUUGGGAAAUUUAUACGUUUUAGUAGUCCCGCCGAUCACUUCUUCGCCUUACAAUGGCAAUAUGUUGGUCUUCAGGUGGACCUGGGGGUGUGUGAGCACCACAGCAUCUGCCCAUCAUCCCCCCACCCCUCUCCUAAAGAGAACCAUAGUGCUUCACGUAGCUUGAGUACAAGUACAAAAUCAGCAGCAUCAGAAGCUGGGCGAAGGACUCGCGAAGCUGCGGACGGCGAGAGAGGCUCCGUCAGACUGCAUGUGUCCACCAGGCCCUCCGGGGAGGAGAGGGAAGCCUGGACGGCGUGGAGAGCCUGGUAAGCACUGCGGUCACCCCCUGGUACCGAUGCUGUUACGUGUACUGUGGGCUGGCCCC